GUUACAGCAGCCGCGGUAAUACGAAGGGAGCUAGCGUUGUUCGGAAUCACUGGGCGUAAAGCGCACGUAGGCGGAUGUGUCAGUCAGGGGUGAAAUCCCGGAGCUCAACUUCGGAACUGCCUUUGAUACAGCACAUCUGGAGUCCGGAAGAGGUGGGUGGAAUUCCUAGUGUAGAGGUGAAAUUCGUAGAUAUUAGGAAGAACACCGGUGGCGAAGGCGGCCCACUGGUCCGGUACUGACGCUGAGGUGCGAAAGCGUGGGGAGCAAACAGGAUUAGAACCCGGGUAGUCC
This 291-nucleotide ribosomal RNA is filed under the name uncultured bacterium. RNAcentral describes it as "partial 16S ribosomal RNA". It matches the Rfam family "Bacterial small subunit ribosomal RNA", at positions 505 to 796 of the family's 1533-position model. The record is from RNAcentral.